CCUUCGGGGUGAUGGGGACUCACAGGAGACUGCCGGGGUCAACUCGGAGGAAGGUGGGGACGACGUCAAGUCAUCAUGCCCCUUAUGUCUUGGGCUGCACACGUGCUACAAUGGCCGGUACAAUGAGCUGCGAUGCCGCGAGGCGGAGCGAAUCUCAAAAAGCCGGUCUCAGUUCGGAUUGGGGUCUGCAACUCGACCCCAUGAAG
Molecule: ribosomal RNA, 206 nt
Filed under: Streptomyces sp. AN-2-2
Lineage: Bacteria; Bacillati; Actinomycetota; Actinomycetes; Kitasatosporales; Streptomycetaceae
Description: partial 16S ribosomal RNA
Rfam family: Bacterial small subunit ribosomal RNA
Source: RNAcentral